GAGACCAACCCAUCUCAGAGGGAGGUAUUCUGCUUUCAAGACUGCCUGUGGGAAAAGGACUUCUUCCUUGCUAGCUGGGAGCAGCUGUUGAACUGCC
Long non-coding RNA from Corapipo altera (White-ruffed manakin), 97 nucleotides. RefSeq lists it as uncharacterized. The record is from RefSeq and is a predicted model, not a curated record. Lineage: Eukaryota; Metazoa; Chordata; Aves; Passeriformes; Pipridae. The transcript is spliced from 4 exons.